GUCGAGGAUCUUCCGCAAUGCGCGAAAGCGUGACGGAGCGACGCCGCGUGGGUGAUGAAGGCCUUCGGGUUGUAAAGCCCUGUCACCUGGGAAGAAUGGCGGGAGGUGAAUAGCCAUCUCGCUUGACGCUACCAGGAGAGGAAGCACCGGCUAAAUACGUGCCAGCAGCCGCGGUAAUACGUAUGGUGCUAACGUUGUUCGGAAUUACUGGGCAUAAAGAGCACGUAGGCGGAUGAGCAAGUCCAUUGUGAAAUCCCCCGGCUUAACCGGGGAACUGCAGUGGAUACUACUUGACUAGAGUGCAGGAGGGGAGAGUGGAAUUCCAGGUGGAGCGGUGAAAUGCGUAGAUAUCUGGAGGAACGCCGGUGGCGAAAGCGACUCUCUGGUCUGCAACUGACGCUGAGGUGCGAAAGCUAGGGGAGCAAACGGGAUUAGAAACCCGGGUAGUCC
This 450-nucleotide ribosomal RNA is filed under the name uncultured bacterium. RNAcentral's name for it is "bacterial SSU rRNA". It matches the Rfam family "Bacterial small subunit ribosomal RNA", at positions 354 to 796 of the family's 1533-position model. The record is from RNAcentral.